This 122-nucleotide ribosomal RNA is filed under the name Olea europaea subsp. europaea. Its description in RNAcentral is "Eukaryotic large subunit ribosomal RNA". It matches the Rfam family "Eukaryotic large subunit ribosomal RNA", at positions 3021 to 3134 of the family's 3401-position model. Lineage: Eukaryota; Viridiplantae; Streptophyta; Magnoliopsida; Lamiales; Oleaceae. The record is from Rfam by way of RNAcentral.
AAUUCAACCUAGUACAAGAGGAACCGUUGAUUCACACAAUUGGUCAUUGCUCUUGGUUGAAAAGCCAGUGGCACGAAGUUACCGUGCGCUGGAUUAUGACUGAACGUGUGGUACUCUUCCAG